AUUGAACGCUGGCGGCAUGCCUUACACAUGCAAGUCGAACGGCAGCACGGGAGCAAUCCUGGUGGCGAGUGGCGAACGGGUGAGUAAUACAUCGGAACGUGUCCAGGAGUGGGGGAUAGCCCGGCGAAAGCCGGAUUAAUACCGCAUACGCUCUAAGGAGGAAAGGGGGGGAUCUUCGGACCUCUCGCUCAAGGGGCGGCCGAUGGCAGAUUAGCUAGUUGGUGGGGUAAAGGCCUACCAAGGCGACGAUCUGUAGCUGGUCUGAGAGGACGACCAGCCACACUGGGACUGAGACACGGCCCAGACUCCUACGGGAGGCAGCAGUGGGGAAUUUUGGACAAUGGGCGCAAGCCUGAUCCAGCAAUGCCGCGUGUGUGAAGAAGGCCUUCGGGUUGUAAAGCACUUUUGUCCGGAAAGAAAACCUCGUGGUUAAUACCCGUGGGGGAUGACGGUACCGGAAGAAUAAGCACCGGCUAACUACGUGCCAGCAGCCGCGGUAAUACGUAGGGUGCAAGCGUUAAUCGGAAUUACUGGGCGUAAAGCGUGCGCAGGCGGUUCGCUAAGACAGAUGUGAAAUCCCCGGGCUUAACCUGGGAACUGCAUUUGUGACUGGCGGGCUAGAGUAUGGCAGAGGGGGGUAGAAUUCCACGUGUAGCAGUGAAAUGCGUAGAGACGUGGAGGAAUACCGAUGGCGAAGGCAGCCCCCUGGGCCAAUACUGACGCUCAUGCACGAAAGCGUGGGGAGCAAACA
Molecule: ribosomal RNA, 751 nt
Filed under: uncultured Burkholderia sp.
Lineage: Bacteria; Pseudomonadati; Pseudomonadota; Betaproteobacteria; Burkholderiales; Burkholderiaceae
Description: bacterial SSU rRNA
Rfam family: Bacterial small subunit ribosomal RNA
Source: RNAcentral